This 400-nucleotide ribosomal RNA is filed under the name phytoplankton environmental sample. Its description in RNAcentral is "partial small subunit ribosomal RNA". It matches the Rfam family "Eukaryotic small subunit ribosomal RNA", at positions 587 to 988 of the family's 1831-position model. The record is from RNAcentral.
AGCUCCAAUAGCGUAUAUUAAAGUUGUUGCAGUUAAAAAGCUCGUAGUUGAAUAUCUGGUACAACGCGACUGGCCCGCCUCAAUAGAGCGUGAGCGCCGGUUAACGUUUGCCAUCCUUCUAGAAAACGUUUCAUCCUUCAUUGGUUGACUCGGGAUCUAGAUCUUUUACUUUGAAAAAAUUAGAGUGUUCAAAGCAGGCCCUUGCCACGAAUACAUUAGCAUGGAAUAAUAAUCUAGGACUUCGGUUCUAUUUUGUUGGUUUCUAGUACUGAAGUAAUGAUUGAUAGGGAUAGUUGGGGGUGCUAGUAUUCAGCGGCCAGAGGUGAAAUUCUUGGAUUCGCUGAAGACUAACUUAUGCGAAAGCAUUCACCAAGGAUGUCUUCUUUAAUCAAGAACGAAA